CGUCCACGUCGUUUCGUCCUCUACACACACACACACACACACACACACACUCGCGCACUGUCUUGAUCGAUGAGCUUGCCUAUUUUGCUGCUGGACGUGGCGGAACAAUAGUAACAUGCCUUGUUUCUGGUGGCGAAUCACGUAUGGCGUGGUGUUCCCCGCGGUGCAGCAUACGCUGCAUGGGAUUGAGGGGCGGUGACUUCCCACACAGACGGCAGUGGCGACCAUGCUAGUUCACUACAGGGCGAGUUUUUUACCCUUUAUGAAGAAUUAAAAGCGGACGAUGGCAAAUUCUUCAAUUACUUUAGGAUGUCAUACCCAACCUUUGAGGAACUUGUGGCAAGGGUUACGGAUGAUAUUAAACUGCAGGACACAAACAUGAGGCCAUCUAUUCCACCUGAAGAAGCAGUGGCUUUAAGCAUCAGGUAUCUUGCCUCUGGUUGCAGCCUGACGGAUCUCCACUACAGGUACAGAAUUGAUAUAUCUACAGCCUGCAAAGUUGUAAGAAGAGUGUGUUGUGCAAUAUGGGACAUGAUGAAGGUGGAGUGUUUUCCCCAACUU
Scylla paramamosain (green mud crab) is the source of this 561-nucleotide long non-coding RNA. RefSeq lists it as uncharacterized. The record is from RefSeq and is a predicted model, not a curated record. Lineage: Eukaryota; Metazoa; Arthropoda; Malacostraca; Decapoda; Portunidae. The transcript is spliced from 3 exons.